UGAGAGAGGACAUGCCUGCCUUGAGUGC
Molecule: non-coding RNA, 28 nt
Filed under: Homo sapiens (human)
Lineage: Eukaryota; Metazoa; Chordata; Mammalia; Primates; Hominidae
Source: RNAcentral